Non-coding RNA from Rattus norvegicus (Norway rat), 583 nucleotides. The record is from RefSeq and is a predicted model, not a curated record. NCBI's taxonomy places the organism in Eukaryota, Metazoa, Chordata, Mammalia, Rodentia, Muridae.
AGCUCCUCUUAGUCUCUCAGAGCCUGGCUCCCUGACCUAAAAUUCAGAGACCAUUAAUUGGCAGCCGCCCUGUGCUGGUGCCAUGAAAGUUCUUUCUUUCCUGGCUAUUGAAAUAAGGGAAGUCAUAGACUGUCAGAAAUGGUGUGGGCCUGGGGGCCAGGCAGGUCCAGGCUAGAACUGAAGAUGAAUUUUACCAUCUCCCAGUCACGUUGACUGGGGAAAGCUGCUUUUGCUUUCUCAGCCCUGUCCUCUCCUCUGACAAUGCUCAAAGGCAGCCACCCUGAUAUUUGCCCUUUCUAUAUAUAAACCUGGAGCCACAGACUGUUUUCUUGGUGAUGGAGAUCUAGAAGGAAAAGCCAAGUGGCAGAAGCUAGUAUCUGACGGUUUGCACGCAGGACGGUGAUCAUUGAAAUAAGUAUAAGACCUGCCACUCCAGACACAGAUUCGUGACUUUGACAUGAUUGGAAUCUUCCCAGAGCAUUCAUAUAUACCCCAAAAGAAGAAUAUUAAUGUUCCUUCAGUAUUUGUGAGGACUCAGUAAGGAAUACAUUGUGUGCCGGUUUGAAUAGGUUUGGCCCUGAUA